GCAUCUGGGAUAGCUCAGUCAGUAGAGCAUGAGACUCUUAACCUCAGGGUCAUGCGUUCAAUUCCCACGUUGGGCA
This is a non-coding RNA of Podarcis lilfordi (Lilford's wall lizard), 76 nucleotides long. Lineage: Eukaryota; Metazoa; Chordata; Lepidosauria; Squamata; Lacertidae. The record is from the annotation of a GenBank genome assembly.